RNAcentral lists this ribosomal RNA (496 nucleotides) under uncultured bacterium. Its description in RNAcentral is "partial 16S ribosomal RNA". It matches the Rfam family "Bacterial small subunit ribosomal RNA", at positions 29 to 507 of the family's 1533-position model. The record is from RNAcentral.
AUGAACGCUGGCGGCGUGCCUAAUACAUGCAAGUCGAGCGAACAGAUGAGGAGCUUGCUCCUCUGACGUUAGCGGCGGACGGGUGAGUAACACGUGGAUAACCUACCUAUAAGACUGGGAUAACUUCGGGAAACCGGAGCUAAUACCGGAUAAUAUAUUGAACCGCAUGGUUCAAUAGUGAAAGACGGUUUUGCUGUCACUUAUAGAUGGAUCCGCGCCGCAUUAGCUAGUUGGUAAGGUAACGGCUUACCAAGGCAACGAUGCGUAGCCGACCUGAGAGGGUGAUCGGCCACACUGGAACUGAGACACGGUCCAGACUCCUACGGGAGGCAGCAGUAGGGAAUCUUACGCAAUGGGCGAAAGCCUGACGGAGCAACGCCGCGUGAGUGAUGAAGGUCUUCGGAUCGUAAAGCUCUGUUAUUAGGGAAGAACAAAUGUGUAAGUAACUAUGCACGUCUUGACGGUACCUAAUCAGAAAGCCACGGCUAACUACGUG